ACCUAGACUUGACAUCCCGGGGAUUUUCUGGAAAACAGAGAAGUGCUUUAGCAAUAAGAACCCGGUGACAGGUGCUGCAUGGCUGUCGUCAGCUCGUGUCGUGAGAUGUUGGGUUAAGUCCCGCAACGAGCGCAACCCUCGCCUUUAGUUGCCAGCAUUCAGUUGGGCACGUCUAGAGGGGACUGCCCGGUGUCAAACCGGAGGAAGGUGGGAUGACGUCAAGUCCUCAUGGCCUUUAUGUCUAGGGCUACACACGUACUACAAUGGCCGGUACAAAGGGCAGCCACUCAGCGAUGAGGCGCUAAUCCCAUAAAGCCGGUCUCAGUCCGGAUCGCAGUCUGCAACUCGACUGCGUGAAGUUGGAAUCGCUAGUAAUCGUAGAUCAGCAUGCUACGGUGAAUACGUUCCCGGGCCUU
Molecule: ribosomal RNA, 416 nt
Filed under: uncultured Desulfovibrio sp.
Lineage: Bacteria; Pseudomonadati; Thermodesulfobacteriota; Desulfovibrionia; Desulfovibrionales; Desulfovibrionaceae
Description: bacterial SSU rRNA
Rfam family: Bacterial small subunit ribosomal RNA
Source: RNAcentral